GCCAGCAAGAGAGCCCCGGGCCUCCCAUGGACGUGUCUGCCUGCGAGUCGGCUGCAGAUGUGCCAGGAACCAGUGGAAUCCACCUUCCUGGUUUCCCAGAACUUUACUAUAAAUUCCUGCCUAUUGCCAGGAAAUGCUAUGGAAAUAAAAAUAAAUGAAUUGGGAAGGCAGUAUCAGUUUCAGGGAGCAUUGGACUGAGUUGAGAGGAUUUUGUUAUUUCCCAGGCCAUAUAGGUUUGCAUUUCCAUCUUUGGUUCCCUGGUCUAAGGAGAGGAAAUUCAAUCCUAGUAACUAGCACAGGAGGUUAACAUAGAUUUUGGGGAACGAAGGAAAAUGUGUUUCUGUCCGAUGUAGGCAGAGUGGAAAGAGACAAGGGGAAGUGGGGGCUCAGGGAGCUGAUGCCAGUGGCCCCUUGGGGUGAACAUCCCAUGACCUCACACUGUGAUGCUCUCAAAUCAGCACAAGCUGCUUCCCCUGGUACACACUGCUGAACCUCCAACAUCAAAAUUAAAUGUCACUGUAUGAGGCAUGCAAUUUCUUUGGAGAACUGAGCUUUAUUUCCUGGAAGAGAAGUUUAAAUCCAUCAGACAUUUAAAGGCAGGGCCCUGUGGCAUGCCCAACAUCAGAAGUGUGGUUCGAGUUUACGUCCUCCUUCUGUCCUGGAGAGGCUCAUGGUUGGAUGAAGACAUGUACAUAUAAAAACUCAUCAAAACAUGUUGAGGUGCUCAUCACGAUCAAUGAGCUCUGUGCUGUGGGACAGAAGGACAAUAAACUAGCACUGUGAGCUGCCACAGCCCUGCGGCCUGGGGUGGAGGUCAGUCCAAGGAGUUCUGGGCAAAUGGAAUGACUACAGGCUCCACGCUGUGAAAGACUAUUACAGAAAUCACACAUGGCUGUGCUAUUUAAGAUGUUUGUGGCUGAAAAUAUAUAACCCAAUGAACAGUGGCUGAAACCUGAGCUGCUUCUCCCACUUCCAAGGAGGCCCUGAGCUUGGUGGUCUCAUGGGCUUGGAGGCACCCCUGCAAGACUCCUUAUGCUUUCAAGAUUCCAGUUCAAGCACCUGUCUUCAUGGCAGCACCACGAGAAGGAAGGCAGUGGGACAAAAGCGACGUUGCCAUCACAGUGCUCACUCCUUUUAUCAUGGAGCAAGUGAUUUGGCAGAAACCCCAACAUUUAUCUUUCCAUCUUGUUAACCAAGUCAAGUCACAUGUUCACCCCAUGCCAAUCCUUGGCCAAGGCCGGUCAGAUGGCCUUGAUCAAAGCUUUCCCUAUACAGGAACCCUAUAUGUACUGCCUUGAUUAUACACUUUCCCUGUGCAGGAACCCCAUAUAUACCACCUUUCCAGACACAGGACCAUACCCUUUCCCUGUCUGGGAAGCCCCCAUAAACACAAGUUUGAUCAUACCCUGUGUUCCCAUAUAGAAACCAAAUUAGAGGCCCCUUUUAAAGAAGAAGGGAAAGUAGGGUCUCUUGGGGACGAAAAAAAAAAAAAAAA
RNAcentral lists this long non-coding RNA (1495 nucleotides) under Macaca fascicularis (crab-eating macaque). Its description in RNAcentral is "lncRNA (ENSMFAG00000059565.1)". Lineage: Eukaryota; Metazoa; Chordata; Mammalia; Primates; Cercopithecidae. The record is from RNAcentral.